Molecule: ribosomal RNA, 306 nt
Filed under: uncultured bacterium
Lineage: Bacteria
Description: bacterial SSU rRNA
Rfam family: Bacterial small subunit ribosomal RNA
Source: RNAcentral
AGCGAACGCUGGCGGCGUGCCUAACACAUGCAAGUCGAGCGCGGGCAUUUCGGGGGUAACCCCGGGAUGUGCUGAGCGGCGGACGAGUGAGUAAUACGUGGACAACCUGCCUUAAAGCUUGGGAUAACUCCGGGAAACUGGAGCUAAUACCGGAUAAGACCACGGCGUCUAUGGAUGCUGAGGUAAAAGGCGGCCAGGAAACUGGCUGUUGCUUAAAGAUGGGUCCACGUCCCANCGAGGUAGUUGGUGAGGUAAAGGCUCACCAAGCCAAAGACGGGUAGCUGGCCUUAGCGGGUGGUCAGCCAC